This 392-nucleotide ribosomal RNA is filed under the name uncultured bacterium. Its description in RNAcentral is "bacterial SSU rRNA". It matches the Rfam family "Bacterial small subunit ribosomal RNA", at positions 29 to 451 of the family's 1533-position model. The record is from RNAcentral.
AACGAACGCUGGCGGCAGGCCUUAUACAUGCAAGUCGAGCGCUCUCUUCGGAGGGAGCGGCGGACGGGUUAGUAACGCGUGGGAAUGUGCCCUUCUCUAAGGAAUAGCCACUGGAAACGGUGAGUAAUACCUUAUACGCCCUUCGGGGGAAAGAUUUAUCGGAGAAGGAUCAGCCCGCGUUAGAUUAGGUAGUUGGUGGGGUAACGGCCUACCAAGCCGACGAUCUAUAGCUGGUUUGAGAGGAUGAUCAGCAACACUGGGACUGAGACACGGCCCAGACUCCUACGGGAGGCAGCAGUGGGGAAUCUUAGACAAUGGGCGCAAGCCUGAUCUAGCCAUGCCGCGUGAGUGACGAAGGCCCUAGGGUCAAGCUCUUUCGCCAGGGAUGAUAA